RNAcentral lists this ribosomal RNA (1597 nucleotides) under Pseudoacanthocephalus smalesi. RNAcentral describes it as "eukaryotic LSU rRNA". The stretch from base 569 to 1597 matches the Rfam family "Eukaryotic large subunit ribosomal RNA", at positions 1 to 872 of the family's 3401-position model. Lineage: Eukaryota; Metazoa; Acanthocephala; Palaeacanthocephala; Echinorhynchida; Pseudoacanthocephalidae. The record is from RNAcentral.
UGAAUAGAUGGUGACCAUAUUGAGAGUAUUCUGGCGCUACCAUUGUUAAGCAAGGUGGUGUGCCAGAUGAAACAAAUUGAGUGCUCAUUAUAAUGACUUGCUUCUGCAUUAAACAUUGUUUUAAUGCAAUUCGAUGUCGGAUGUCAAGCUUUCUGAUUAGAAAGUGAACUAUACAAACAAUGCUUGCUAGCGCUUGCAUGUUUAAUGAAUGUCGGUGUACAGUGAAUCACUUGGCUCGCAGAUCGAGGAAGAACAUUGCCACAUGUGGUAAUUUCUGUGAACUGCAGGUCACAAUGAUCAGAGAGUAUUUGAACGCAAAUGGCAGCUGUAGGUGUGAGCCUACUGCUACAUCCGUCUGAGGUUCAUUCAAAGCAAUAUAUAAAGUUCGUUAUGUAAAACGGCUUUUGACGGCUGAAGCGGUUUGAGCAUUUUGCUUAAUGCACUUUGAAAUGAUAGUGUUAACGUCGAGCCGUAUCAAGCUAUGAUAUUUGCGCUGAUUACUGGUUACGAGUGAAAUUGAUGAUUACAUCGGUGAUCAGUGUGAGUACUCAAAGAUCGAACAACGAAAGAGCCUCAGAUUGGGUGAGAUUAUCCGCUGAAUUUAAGCAUAUUAAUAAGCGGAAGAAAAGAAACCAACUGGGAUUCUAUAAGUAAUGGCGAAUGAACAUAGAGUGGUCAUCAUUGAAUUCCUCCGCAUUUAGUGGAUGGAAGGUGUAAUGUUCGUGCGGUUCAUACAUUUUGCUGGCGUGCAGUGUAAGUUUGAUUGAACGUGACAUGCCCAGAGAGGGUGAAAGGCCCGUCACACUGCUUGUUUGGCAUUCUGUUGACUGUGCUGGAGUAGGAUUGCUUGAGAAUGCAGUUCGAAUGUCGUGUGGAAAACCCCACACAAGCCUAAAUAUGGCUGCGAGACCGAUAGCGAACAAGUACCAUGAGGGAAAGUUGAAAAGCACUCUGAAAAGAGAGUUCAUAAGAGCGUGAAACUGUACUCUGCAAAGCGAAUGGUUGGGUGAUAUGAGCACUUGUUGUUCAGACUUGUCGUGGGUGUGCUGGCAGUCCAUUUGUAGAUUGCCAUACAGCUUACGAAAUGUUGCAUUUGACAUUGCUUGGGGUUGCUCGGUGUGCUGAUGGUAGCGCGGUGUCGUUUCGGAUUGGAAUAUCUUUGAUAACUCCAUGAGGACGGCACCGUAGGGUUGACUUAGUUUGGCUGCUACUAUCGGUGCACUAUGAUAUAAUGGCUAGACUGUAUCGAUCUGCUAAGCUUGUUGCGGGCCAAUUGGUUCGUUGGCAAGCUGGUGGGAAAAUUGUUCAAUGGCUACGUAAGGGCAGCGUCUUUACUUGAGCCAUUCGAACCGUCUUGAAACACGGACUAAGGAGUUCAACUCGAACGCAAGUCGUUUUUUCGCGAUGAAAUUUAAAGGCUAAGCGAAGACGAUUCUUUAUGAAAUGCUAACUGAUGCUAGUAAUUGCUGAUGGCAAGCACGAGUGAUGAGUGACACAUUUGAUCUUGAUGAUCACUGCACCUGAGCGUUCAGGUUGAGACCCGAAAGAUGGUGAACUAUGCCUGAGUAGAAUGAAGCCAGGGGAAACUCUGGUGGAG